Dreissena polymorpha is the source of this 629-nucleotide long non-coding RNA. RefSeq lists it as uncharacterized. The transcript has 3 exons. The record is from RefSeq and is a predicted model, not a curated record. Lineage: Eukaryota; Metazoa; Mollusca; Bivalvia; Myida; Dreissenidae.
CCCUACUACUAUUGUGUUAAAUAUACUUAGUCUUGCCUCCGAUUGGUCGACUUACGAGAGCUCUCGUCUAAUAAGUGUCAAAAUAAGGUAUUCUUCGGUGUAUACCUCAACCAGUUGGUGUCAAACGAGCUAGCACAGAUACAUACACGGAAAUCCUUCGUCAUGCCCACCAAGUUCAACGAAGGUGUUUUGCGAGUGCAGAAGUCGAAAUUCCUCGAUCAGACGCAGGAGCUUCAAGAUCUCUAUGAGCUUGCGGUGUUUUCUGGAUGCCCGAUGAGCCCAUUCACAUUUAGAUCUAUCAUGAAUCUUUUGAGAACGAAUGUCCCGCCACAUGCGAUACUAGCCGUGUUAAAGUCGAUGUGCGCAGCUAGGAAGAACGCCGCAAGUGUGAAGAGUUAAAUAAUAACUCUUAUGAUAAAAGGUCUGUCAACGAGAGUUAUUGCAGAUUGAAGUCUACACAUGUCGAGAUUCUAUGUAUACAAUGUCAUUGAACGCUUUAUCUAAAAGGGUACAUAAAAAAUGACUGAACCAAUCGAUUCAAUUGUUUGUGAAAUUUUGUAUGUAAAGAAGUAACAUAUGAUUUAAUAAAAUUAUAUUCAUGAUACACAAUAAAUGAUAAGGUAUUUUAA